This 776-nucleotide ribosomal RNA is filed under the name uncultured Neocallimastigales. Its description in RNAcentral is "partial large subunit ribosomal RNA". It matches the Rfam family "Eukaryotic large subunit ribosomal RNA", at positions 18 to 643 of the family's 3401-position model. The record is from RNAcentral. Lineage: Eukaryota; Fungi; Neocallimastigomycota; Neocallimastigomycetes; Neocallimastigales.
UCAGACGAUGCGUCAUGCAUAUCAAUAAGCGGAGGAAAAGAAACUAACAAGGAUUCCCCUAGUAACGGCGAGUGAAGCGGGAAGAGCUCAAAUUUGAAAUCUUAAAGGGUUUCCCUUUACGAAUUGUAGUUUAAAGAAGUGUUUUCUGUUGAGGUUUUGGUAAAAGUUCUUUGGAAUAGGACAUCAUAGAGGGUGAGAAUCCCGUAUUUGACCUUUACUUUCAACUUUGUGAUACACUUUCAAAGAGUCGGAUUGUUUGGGAAUGCAGUCCAAAAUGGGUGGUAAAUUUCAUCUAAAGCUAAAUAUUGGCGAGAGACCGAUAGCGAACAAGUACCGUGAGGGAAAGAUGAAAAGAACUUUGAAAAGAGAGUUAAACAGUACGUGAAAUUGUCAAAAGGGAAGCGUUUGACACCAGUGUUGUUUUUUCUGAAAAUCAAUUAAAGAACUGUUUAUGCUAAGCUGUUUAGACUUUAUCAGCUAUCUGUUUAGUUUUGAGCUUUUCUUUAAUGCACUUUUCAGUUAACAAGUCAACAUCAAUUUCUUUUGCUGUAAAAAAGCUUGAGGAAGGUGGCUUGAGAUUCGUCUUAAGUGUUUAUAGCCUCUUGCCUAUGCAGUCGGAGAGAUUGAGGUCUGCAGCGUAGAUCCUUCGGGGCUAAAUGCAUUUGUGCUAAGUUAUAGCAUUUUUAUAGACAACUUGUUGACUAUGAUUUGUCUUGUAGCUUACUCGCUUAUGUUAUUUUACCUACGCUUAGGAUGUUGACACACGCGCGUGCUCG